UUUAACAUGAGAGUUUGAUCCUGGCUCAGGAUGAACGCUGGCGGCGUGCUUAACACAUGCAAGUCGAGCGAAGCAAUUUAAGUGAAGUUUUCGGA
RNAcentral lists this ribosomal RNA (95 nucleotides) under Clostridium sp. AM51-4. RNAcentral describes it as "partial 16S ribosomal RNA". It matches the Rfam family "Bacterial small subunit ribosomal RNA", at positions 1 to 94 of the family's 1533-position model. Lineage: Bacteria; Bacillati; Bacillota; Clostridia; Eubacteriales; Clostridiaceae. The record is from RNAcentral. RNAcentral also lists the same sequence under 1 other name.